UGACCGCUGGCGGCGUGCCUACUACAUGCACGUCGAGCGAACAGACGAGGAGCUUGCUCCUCUGACGUUAGCGGCGGACGGGUGAGUAACACGUGGAUAACCUACCUAUAAGACUGGGAUAACUUCGGGAAACCGGAGCUAAUACCGGAUAAUAUAUUGAACCGCAUGGUUCAAUAGUGAAAGACGGUUUUGCUGUCACUUAUAGAUGGAUCCGCGCCGCAUUAGCUAGUUGGUAAGGUAACGGCUUACCAAGGCAACGAUGCGUAGCCGACCUGAGAGGGUGAUCGGCCACACUGGAACUGAGACACGGUCCAGACUCCUACGGGAGGCAGCAGUAGGGAAUCUUCCGCAAUGGGCGAAAGCCUGACGGAGCAACGCCGCGUGAGUGGUGAAGGUCUUCGGAUCGUAAAACUCUGUUAUUAGGGAAGAACAAAUGUGUAAGUAACUAUGCACGUCUUGACGGUACCUAAUCAGAAAGCCACGGCUAACUACGUG
Molecule: ribosomal RNA, 495 nt
Filed under: uncultured bacterium
Lineage: Bacteria
Description: partial 16S ribosomal RNA
Rfam family: Bacterial small subunit ribosomal RNA
Source: RNAcentral